Molecule: long non-coding RNA, 1426 nt
Organism: Macadamia integrifolia
Lineage: Eukaryota; Viridiplantae; Streptophyta; Magnoliopsida; Proteales; Proteaceae
Exons: 2
Source: RefSeq, a predicted model, not a curated record
UAUUAUUCAUGUUAAUCAUAACAUUUGAAAGAGAAGGGGCAAUUCAAAAUUUUUAUUUUAUUUUAUUUUUAUUUUUAAAUGAAAGUUCAAUUCAAUGAUUUUUGGAGUAUAAGUACGGCAAAGCAAGAACCCUAGAGAGCUUUCUGUCUCUCCCUGUCUCUCAACCCCCGAGACAGUCUAAUAAGAGGGGUUGGGUUGGGUGUCUGGCUCUUAGCUCUCUCUGUAUCUUUCCAGUGAUUAUAUUGAUUUUUCUUGGGUUGUUUCAAUAUACCCAGAUUUGAUAAUCUGCAAAGUCGCUUUCUUUCUCUUCAAUAGGAAGAGAAGACGAAGAAUCGGCAUAGAAGGAUAGACGAUAGACGACUUGGUUGUUUCUACUCUUUUUUAAGUACUGUAUACGAUGGGCGAUAGAAUCCCACCUGGAAGUUAUUUCCAAUACUCUCCUUCUGGCGUCCAUGCUUCUCCUCACAGGCCUUCUUCUGCUUCUUUAGAUCGAGAAAGCAAUGGAAGAUAUUUGGCUGAAUUGUUGGCAGAGAGGCAGAAACUGGGACCAUUUAUGCAAGUUCUGCCACUUUGCAGCAGGCUUCUCAACCAAGGUUAGUGGCUCUUCUACCUCCAACUUGUUGUAGUUUCAUGGUUCAGUGACUUCAGUCUAUGUAUUUCUUUGUUUCAUGCUUUACAGCUUUGAAAUCCUUCAAUCAUAUUUCAUACCAUUGAGAAUGAUAUUAAAAAUUUGAUAGUUUCACCAGUACCAAAAUUUAAAAAAUCAAGUCUUGUUGCCCCUGGAGGGGAGGGGGUAUUUUUUUUGUUUGAUACUUGGCUCUUGAAAGUGGAUGACUCAAUUAACCUCAUGAUUCCAAUUAAACAUGGAAUAUGUAAACAGCUGCCACUAAUAUGUCAAGUUUCUGUCUUUAUUAGCCAUACACAUAAAGGUAGAUUAUCAGAAGACAGAGAUGGAACUAUUUUGUUUCUCUCAAUUCUAUAGAUAAUGGUUAAGAUGGCAUCUCAAUGCAAUAAAUGGCCAAUAGAUAAGAUUUCAGUAAGUGGGAAGGUAUAAAAAUGAUAGUUAAAAAAAGCAUGCCAGAAACUCUGGUUCCUGACUUUCACUCAUGCAAAAUAAUAAGUUUGUAGCAUUAUCAAAGUGCACAUUUUUCUUCUAGCAGUUGAUUUGUGGAUACUCUUUCCUAAAUUUUUAAUAUUCGUCACACUACUAUUGUGAUUUUAACACUGUAUGCACCAUAACACUGUUCCAAAUCUGACUCCCAAAUGCGAGAUGUAUGGUCAUUAUUGGGUAGCAUACUGUUGGUUAGCCUGUUUAGGUGGUUGGGAUUUGUUAACCCUUCUAUUUACUUCUGAUGUAGUUUCACCCUAUACGUGGUUGUUAUUUUAGAAAAGAAAUCCCAUCCAUGAUGCAGAAAACGUAACAAAA